GAUGAACGCUGGCGGCGUGCUUAACACAUGCAAGUCGAACGGAAAGGCUCCUGCUUGCAGGGGUACUCGAGUGGCGAACGGGUGAGUAACACGUGGGUGAUCUGCCCUGCACUUCGGGAUAAGCCUGGGAAACUGGGUCUAAUACCGGAUAGGACGAUGGUUUGGAUGCCAUUGUGGAAAGUUUUUCGGUGUGGGAUGAGCUCGCGGCCUAUCAGCUUGUUGGUGGGGUAAUGGCCUACCAAGGCGUCGACGGGUAGCCGGCCUGAGAGGGUGUACGGCCACAUUGGGACUGAGAUACGGCCCAGACUCCUACGGGAGGCAGCAGUGGGGAAUAUUGCACAAUGGGCGCAAGCCUGAUGCAGCGACGCCGCGUGGGGGAUGACGGCCUUCGGGUUGUAAACUCCUUUCGCUAGGGACGAAGCGCAAGUGACGGUACCUGGAGAAGAAGCACCGGCUAACUACGUA
RNAcentral lists this ribosomal RNA (465 nucleotides) under uncultured bacterium. RNAcentral describes it as "partial 16S ribosomal RNA". It matches the Rfam family "Bacterial small subunit ribosomal RNA", at positions 28 to 507 of the family's 1533-position model. The record is from RNAcentral.